ACAGGCUUAACACAUGCAAGUCGAGGGGCAGCAUAAACUAGCAAUAGUUUGAUGGCGACCGGCGCACGGGUGAGUAACACGUAUCCAACCUUCCCUCCACUCGGGGAUAGCCUUUCGAAAGAAAGAUUAAUACCCGAUGGUAUAGUUUUUUCACAUGUUUAAACUAUUAAAGGAUUCCGGUGGUGGAUGGGGAUGCGUUCCAUUAGCUUGUUGGCGGGGUAACGGCCCACCAAGGCAUCGAUGGAUAGGGGUUCUGAGAGGAAGGUCCCCCACACUGGUACUGAGACACGGACCAGACUCCUACGGGAGGCAGCAGUGAGGAAUAUUGGUCAAUGGGCGCUAGCCUGAACCAGCCAAGUAGCGUGAAGGAUGACUGCCCUAUGGGUUGUAAACUUCUUUUGCAGGGGAAUAACGGUAGCUACGUGUAGCUAUGUGCAUGUACCUUGCGAAUAAGCAUCGGCUAACUCCGUGCCAGCAGCCGCGGUAAUACGGAGGAUGCGAGCGUUAUCCCGGAUUUAUUGGGUUUAAAGGGUGCGUAGGCGGGUUUUUAAGUCAGCUGUGAAAGUUCGGGGCUCAACCCCGGAAUUGCAGUUGAUACUGGGGAGCCUUGAGUACACAAGAGGCAGGGCGGAAUUCGUGGGUGUAGCGGUGAAAUGCUUAGAUAUCACGAAGAACUCCUAUUGCGAAGGC
Molecule: ribosomal RNA, 690 nt
Filed under: uncultured bacterium
Lineage: Bacteria
Description: bacterial SSU rRNA
Rfam family: Bacterial small subunit ribosomal RNA
Source: RNAcentral